RNAcentral lists this long non-coding RNA (664 nucleotides) under Homo sapiens (human). RNAcentral's name for it is "HSALNT0338979". The record is from RNAcentral. Lineage: Eukaryota; Metazoa; Chordata; Mammalia; Primates; Hominidae.
CCCUCAGCUGCAUCCUCCCACAGGCCCCCACUCAGAUUGCAGGGCUGGUCCUCAGCCGCUGGCUGGCAGCUGACAAAACCACAGGCCAAUCCCCGCUGGCAGGAUGGGGACAGGCUGACAAUUCCAGGUCCUAACUGCACGGUCUUGCAUUUCCUUCUCUGAAGACUCAGGCAGCCUUCCGUGACUUCUGCUGUCAUCCCAGUGGCCUCUGUCUCCAGAGCAGGUGGAGCAAGGAGGCUGUCUACUUGCUCCCUGGACCCAGCGGACAUAUUCCCAGAGACAGCUGGAAAUAUCAUUGUGAUGUCGGACACUGGAGAUGGGACAGGAGCCACACAGACCCAGCUUUGCCCUCCGGAACUCACAGCAUCCCAGCGGCCGGCAGGGAGAGAGAGGGCCAGCAAACAACUCCGCGAGGGGGUCCCGCGAUAACAUGCGAGAAGUGGGUGGAGAACGCCGGGCAAGCCUGGGUAGCCGAGGAGGGACAGACAAGCAGGUGCAUGGGCCGAGACAUGGAGGGUACCUGGGGACACCAUCCUGGGGCAGGAAACGGCAGGUGCAAAGGCCCCGGGGCCGGCUGAGCUGCUGGCUCCCUCGCUCAGGGAGCAUCUGAGCAGCACCUCCCAGAAGCCAGGGCUGUGCUCGUGUGCAUGGGCCAAGCUUCAGA